This is a long non-coding RNA of Dreissena polymorpha, 138 nucleotides long. RefSeq lists it as uncharacterized. The transcript has 3 exons. NCBI's taxonomy places the organism in Eukaryota, Metazoa, Mollusca, Bivalvia, Myida, Dreissenidae. The record is from RefSeq and is a predicted model, not a curated record.
AGCCGUGCUUCAACUACGGUUGCGGGAAUCAGAAGCUCUACAAUGCUAUAAUUGCCAUGGGGUACAAAAUGUUAGUGCAUGCACCUCAACGAUGACAUGUGGACCAAAUCAGGCCUGUUAUCACCGCAAGCGAUCUGA